Eufriesea mexicana is the source of this 1013-nucleotide long non-coding RNA. RefSeq lists it as uncharacterized. The record is from RefSeq and is a predicted model, not a curated record. NCBI's taxonomy places the organism in Eukaryota, Metazoa, Arthropoda, Insecta, Hymenoptera, Apidae. The transcript has 3 exons.
UUUAAUUGAUGUGUGUGAAAAGUGAGAUAUUGGUGAUUGACGAUGAAACAAGACGACUAUCGAGUACAUUGUGAAUUCCGAGCUGCAUCAUUACGAUAAGACGAUACUCCGAACGGUACAAGUGCAAGGAAGUAUUUCACUUUUAUGCAUGCUGUGAGUAAAUGGAGUUGGUCUAAUAAGUGAUCCAAGCGAAAGGAAUCAGUGUAACGAUAUACCAAUAAAGUGUACAGACACAGUCGUAGAAUGGAACGUAGCAUCGAUGUGUGCGUGCGUCUGUGUAACAUCCGUAUGACGCAAUACUCCCCGUCACACGAUAUAGGUCCUACUUCCAUCGUAUCAUCGUGGCACAAGCACGGCCAAGCCUUUUCCAUAUCCGUGCAUACGUUUUAAGAAAAAGGGAAGAAAAUUCGUUAUCGUGCUGCCGUAGAUGACUGCCGUCAGAGGAGAAUGAAUUGGCCCCGUAGCACGUCGUAACCGGCGUUUAUAGUCCACAGUGCUCCAAUAAUAUAAAUCCUGGCCGUUAUCGGGCCAAAUUUAUUGGAGGAUAUUAUCGAACGUCGAUUAUCACGAUACCAUCGUAGCCGUACGUACACGGCCGGUGAUCUGGUUGCGUGGAGUGUGUCCGCCGCCCCCACGUGGCUACGUAAUACGAUUAUUUAUUACAAAAGCAUUAUUUAUUGGUCGGCGAUCCUUCGAGCCGGCGAUUCGUUAUUGUUUCGCCGAUCGAAAUUUCAUGGUUUCGCCAUGAAAUUUCUCUCCCGCCGGAUUUGAUAUCGAGAAACGAAUCGAUGAUCCUCUUCGACCUAUCCCCAUUGGCUGUUUCGAUUUUUCAACUUGUAUUCGUGCUUGAAAUCGAGCUUUACGAUCACCCCUUCUUCUCGUCGUCGUUGAUUGUUCAUGUGACAAACAAAGGAAGCUGUAUAAGUACGGAAAUGAUUAAAUUGUAAUGUACUUGUGACAAAAACGGAGGUGUAACGUACUUGCUUGCGUGUAUUUGUUCUUGUCGAAAGUGA